UACGUAGGUGGCAAGCGUUAUCCGGAAUACUGGGCGUAAAGCGCACGCAGGCGGUCUUUUAAGUUUGACGUGAAAGCUCCCGGCUUAACUGGGAGAGGUCGUUGAAUACUGGAAGACUUGAGGAAAUGAGAGGGGUGUAGAAUUCCUGGUGUAGUGGUGGAAUGCGUAGAUAUCAGGAGGAAUACCAGUGGCGAAAGCGGCACCCUAGCAUUUUUCUGACGCUCAUGUGCGAAAGCGUGGGGAGCGAACGGG
This 252-nucleotide ribosomal RNA is filed under the name uncultured bacterium. RNAcentral's name for it is "partial 16S ribosomal RNA". It matches the Rfam family "Bacterial small subunit ribosomal RNA", at positions 524 to 776 of the family's 1533-position model. The record is from RNAcentral.